CGAGUGCUCUCCGUUGCCAUGGAGAUGACCCCAGCCGGCAGCCCACACUGACCACACCCUCUGAGGCCCUGCUGGGCGCCUGAGGCUGCUCUGAUUAACUCACAGGUCGGGACUUGUGUGUCAGCCAGCCCUUAGGAAGCGGCUUCUGUUUUGCACUUCAAAGGCGCAUCAGGCAGCUAUCAAAGAUCUUUUUCAGAAAGAAGAGAAACAGUCAAGGCAUGGAUCUCACAGUCCAGAUUGGAGCCAACAAACCUCUGCUGGUCAAAUGAAGCCACAAAGCAGACAAGGAAACUGAGGCUCAAGGACAUUACCUAACAUCUGCAAGGCCACAAAUUGAGAAAACUGGAAAUCAGGUCUAUCCUGUGCUACAUAAGAAUAAGUAGUUGCAAUACAGGCUGAGAGAGGCUGCUGGGCCAUGGUGACCUAACAUGGUCGGAGCUGGGGGAACAUAUUUGCGAUUGCAUCUCACCAUCCCUCCAACCUCCUGCUGUCGCUUUCCAUUGACAAACACAACAGGAAGCCAAGAACAAGGAAGCAGGAAAGCCAGAGGACAAAGUGCGAGCAACGAUGGAGAAGAUGCAGUAACACUGCAGUAAGGUAUGGAUCAUACGUAACUGCAUUGAAAUUUGAACCCUGGUAAUUGAGAUUAUGCUUUCCUUUCACCUAAUAGUCCUUGAAACUGCAAUUAGUGAAAUCUAAGGCUGAGGAAAAAGCCAAUGAGUUUGAACCCUGGCUUAACUUUUUUUUUUGCUCUUUCUAAUAGAAAAUAUGUUCAUUUUUUUCCUACUCAAAUUAUUUAUGCAUUUUCCAUAUUCUGUUCACAUGGCCUGCCUUAUCCAAAUGGGGACCUAUUCUGGCUAUUUAUGAUUUUCCAUAUUAAAAGUAAGAAUUCAUGCUUUUUUUUAGAUCAGACAGAAUUUGAAAUAUUUUUCCUCAAGUGUUUCCAGCCCUUACUUCCAAGAAACUAUCCAGUUUAACCUCAUAGGAACUUUCUGCCUUUUUUCAGUGCCAGAAAAGAAAUGUGAGGUUUCACGAAGUGAAAAUUGCUUUUCCUUCCAUCCAGCUCAUGCCUGCCCUGUGCAGGGGCUUCUUAGACAGGUAACUACUUGCAACUUCCUUUGUUUAAGGAAAUGAGGGUCAAUCCAGUGCUUAGGGUACUACUUGCCUUUGUUCAAGGACUCUCCUUUUAAAAGAGUAACAUGGUGAAGCUUGUGAAGCCUAAUUUUCCCAGGAAUGCAACAUUUGUUUAAAGGUAUUACCGUCAGGAUUUUUUGGUCCUCAGGGUAUAGCAAGUUUCCCUUCUGGUUUUUGUAUGAUGAAUACGAAUGAUCCAGAUGGGGAGUGUAAGUGACAUAACAGCACCAGGACGGAUUGUAAAGGGAUCAGCAACCUAUAAGCUGGUGAAAUGCUACUGUGGCUAAGGAUGGGCCAGGCCUCUUCGCUAAGUGGCUGGCUGCUCUACUAGCUUAGCAUUUAUCCCGUUUACCUCUAUGUUUUUCUAACUUUGUUUGUUUGUUUGUUUUCAUUCCUUGGAGCUGUGAAGGACUGCAAGUGAUAGUUACAAAUAUAACCAAGUAGCUGUGAACGUGGAUUUGUGGCCAUGUUGCUCUGGGAAUUGGAACCCAGCAAUGAAUGUGACCACAGCAAUUGACUUCAAGUCUUUCUCACCUCCUCUUCCCCUUGGAUGUGACAGUUUCUCAGACUCCUCAUUUUUGAUAACCUGGACCGUUUUGAGAAGAACCUGUGAGAAAGCUGUACUUCUGUGUAAUUGCACUUACAGCUUCAUUAUAGCACUUGCAAUCUCAUGUUGAAGAUGUGGAGAGAAGAGAACCUUUAUAGGUUUGUAGCAGGACUGCAAUUAGUGCAAUUAAUGCAGCCAUUGAUGCAUCAAUUAGUGCAGCCAUUAAUGAAAGCAUGAAGGUUUCUCAAAAAAACUUAAACAUAGACCUAGCAUAUGAUCCAGUGCUAGCUCUACAGUAUAUCCGAAAGAAAUGGAAUCGGUAUGGCAAGGAGGCAACUGCACACACACAUCCAUUGCAGCACUAAUCAUGAUACGCAAGUUGGAGAAUCAACCUGUGUUCAUCAAGAGACAGGUAAAGAAAAUGGGCCCAUGUGUGCACAGUGGAAUAUGGUCUGGCUUCCACAGAGAAGAAAACCCGGGCAUUUGCAGGAACGUGGAAGGAAUUGGAUGACCUUAUGUUAAGUGAAAUAAGCCAGGCACAGAGAGACAAGUACCACACCAUCUCAUUUCUCUGUGGACUCUGAAAAUGUCAAACUCGAGGAAGCAGAGCGGAGUGACAGUUACCAGUCAUGGAAGUGGACGUGGGAGCAGGACUGGGGAGACGUCUGUCAAAGGGUGCAAAAUUUCUGUUAGAUGGAAGGAGUGAGUUCAAAAAAUCUGCUGUGGAACAUGGUGAGGACAGCUGAUAACAAUGUGUUGUAUCCUAAGAGCAGUGCAGAUUUUAACUAUUCUCACCCAAAUAAUGGAUAAGUAUGUAAAAUAAUGCAUUUGCAAUUAGUUUGAUUUAGCCACUACACAGUGAAUAUAUAUUUCAGAACCUAUGGUAGAUACCAUAAAUAUAAUACAUUCUUUCAAUUUAAAAAUAAUUUAAAAGAAAAUCUUUGUAUAUUAAGAUAAAAAUAUAUUAAAAACUUUGUUGUAUUAUUAAAUAAAAUAUUUUUGUCUUUAUGGGACAAUCCAAUCAUCGAAUCAUAGGCUCUAUGUACACAGCAAAAUGCUUUUCAAUGCUUUUGUGCCAUAAGCCACAUAGACCCUGGUUCAACAGGACUCAGAGCAGGAACAGUGGAUUCUACUGAAUCAGCUGCAAUUUCUUGAAGAGUUUCAUAGAAAGAUGAACUGAUCAUAUGAACCAAAGAGAAAAGGGGAUAGAAAAAUAAAUUCAUCAUCUUCAGAAGAGUGAAAUAACCUAGCACAUUCAUAUAUUCUAAAAAUUUAUCUUCUAGUUUUCCACAUAUAGACCUUAAUGUUUUAUUAAGUUUACAGCUAAGUAUUUCAUUUUUUUGUGCUGUAGUAAAUAGCACUUCAAAUUUUAAUUAAAAGUAAUGUUUAGAUUCAAAUUGUUGCCUGGUGAAAUAUGGAAAAGCAAUUUUAUACAUUCACCUUAUAUCCCCUGGCCCUGCUAAAUUUACUUAUUAGUUCUAGAAGUCUUUCUGAGACUUAUUUGUGGUUCUAUAAAUAGACAAUCAGGUCAGUGAGAAUAGAGACAAUUUUAAUUCUUCCUUUAAAAUCUGUACCCUUUUAGUUUCCUUCAUGGGACGGCACCAGUUAGGACUUCUAUGAUGUAAAACAGGGUUGAUAAAAGAAGGUAGCGUCCCUUUCUUGAUCAACUUAGAAGGAAAAUGUCUCAUUCUCAGUGUGAGGGAUUAUGUGUGCUAUAGGAAUUUUUGUAGAUAUAUAGAUUUAAGAAGUAGC
This 3433-nucleotide long non-coding RNA is filed under the name Heterocephalus glaber (naked mole-rat). RNAcentral's name for it is "lncRNA (ENSHGLG00000042949.1)". Lineage: Eukaryota; Metazoa; Chordata; Mammalia; Rodentia; Bathyergidae. The record is from RNAcentral.